GAUAAAAUGGCUGAGGAUAGGCAAUAAAUUGUAAAUUUAUUUAUGAGAUUUACUCUUUUAUCA
RNAcentral lists this transfer RNA (63 nucleotides) under Hystrichopsylla weida qinlingensis. RNAcentral describes it as "tRNA-Tyr". The record is from RNAcentral. Lineage: Eukaryota; Metazoa; Arthropoda; Insecta; Siphonaptera; Hystrichopsyllidae.